RNAcentral lists this ribosomal RNA (448 nucleotides) under Eudorella hirsuta. Its description in RNAcentral is "partial large subunit ribosomal RNA". It matches the Rfam family "Archaeal large subunit ribosomal RNA", at positions 1903 to 2631 of the family's 2987-position model. Lineage: Eukaryota; Metazoa; Arthropoda; Malacostraca; Cumacea; Leuconidae. The record is from RNAcentral.
AAACAUCUCCCUUAGUAAUAUUAAAGGUCGUGCCUGCUCACUGGUUUAAGAGCUGCAGUAUCCCAACUGCACUAAGGUAGCAUAAUAAUUUGUCUCUUAAUUGGGGACUCGAAUAAAAGGCUUAACGUAAAAAAAAUUGUUCCUUUUUUACACAAAAAAUUAUAUUUGAAUUUAAAUAUUUAAAAAAUCUUGAAAGACGAUAAGACCCUAUAAAAUUUUACUUUCUAAAUAAAGAAAUAGAUAGUUUUUUUUAAAAAGUUUAGCUGGGACGGCAAAAAUAUUUGUAACCUGUUGACUUUAAAACAAAUAUAAAUGAAAGUACAAAUGACCCCAAAGUCUUCAAAUCAAAUUACUUUAGGGGUAACAGCGUAAUUUUUCUUAAAGCUCUUAUUGAAAGAAAAGAUUACGACCUCGAUGUUGAAUUAAGAUACCUCUAAAAUGCAAAAAG